This is a long non-coding RNA of Dreissena polymorpha, 705 nucleotides long. RefSeq lists it as uncharacterized. The transcript is spliced from 2 exons. Lineage: Eukaryota; Metazoa; Mollusca; Bivalvia; Myida; Dreissenidae. The record is from RefSeq and is a predicted model, not a curated record.
UUUAACCCUUUACCACUCAGAUAUGCUGUUUGACCCAUUUUCAGGCCCUCAGAACAUACAAAUUAUCGUCCUUAAAAGAUUCAAACUUCAUUUCCUAUGCUUAGAUACUGAUUAGCUGUAAAUAGCAUAAAACCUGAACAGCCUGUGAGUUACAUAAUCUUUUCACUUUGCUUCUGAGCACAAAAGGUUUAAUAAUUUGCAAAGAUUGUUAUAUGACAACAAUUGGCCAUGUGUCGAAGAACUUUGUUAACCAGGUUUUCCGAAGGAAAAAACUGGUUAUUAGAUUGGCGAAUGCGGGCGGGCUGGCUGGCUGGCGGGCUGGCUGGCUGGCGGGCUGGCGGAAUAAGCUUGUCCGGGCCAUAACUAUGUCGUUCAUUGUCAGAUUUUAAAAUCAUUUGGCACAUUUGUUCACCAUCAUUGGACGGUGUGUCGCGCGAAAUAAUUACGUCGAUAUCUCCAAGGUCAAGGUCACACUUUGAGUUCAAAGGUCAAAAAUGGCCAUAAAUGAGCUUGUCCUGGCCAUAACUAUGUCAUUCAUUGUGAGAUUUUAAAAUCAUUUGGCACAUUUGUUCACCAUCAUGGGACGGUGUGUCCCACGAAAGAAUCACGUCAAUAUCUCCAAUGUCAAGGUCGCCACGACUAAAAAUAGAUUUUAAAAAAAAAAAAAAAUUACAAAGGGGGUUAAUUUUUUUGGUCAUUUCAAAA